Molecule: long non-coding RNA, 683 nt
Filed under: Elaeis guineensis (African oil palm)
Lineage: Eukaryota; Viridiplantae; Streptophyta; Magnoliopsida; Arecales; Arecaceae
Description: long non-coding RNA (EGUI_LNC020978)
Source: RNAcentral
AAUAAAAAAACACCGACGCCAAGGGUAUUCUAAUUCUCAAGAUUGGCUCCGACUCUUCAUCUUCGACGUCUUUCGAUCUUCAUUUUCUUUCUUCUGUUCGUCGUCGCCGUCCAAAGGCCAGAGCCCUAGCCUCGUCAUCGAUCGUUGUCGCCUACCAGACAGGUGCCGCGAUCUCCUAUCAAACAAGUGUCGUGGUCUCUGCCUCUCUGCGAUCGAAAGCCCCAAUGUAGGUGUGUCUUCUCUCGUCGUCAUCGCCUGCCGAACAAGCCGACGCUGCUCUAGGUGGUGGUGUGGAGUCGAUUGCUUCGAUGGUCGCAUGACGUCGCUCACCUUUCGAUUCUCGCCGCUGCUAUAAUCCUCCUUGUCUCCGUUGACUCUAUUCGAGCCAGUAGAUCGGACAUCCUAGUGCUGCGACCCGUGAGCGGCUCUCUUUUGUUGCUGAUGGGCAAGUGACCACAUCGCCGACUAGCCAAACUAAAUACGUAUCACUGGAUUUGUUGAUGAUAAGUGAUGGGAGUCUCCCACCUAAUCUCCUCCUUAUUUUGAUUUUCUCACCUCACAGCAAUAUGGCUCCCUGUCUCUGUCUUGUCUCUUGUGUUACAUCCACCCAAUGCUCUUGCUCUUAUCUCUUACAAUGAUGUGACUAAAGAUUUUUUUUUUUUCUUGACUUGCCUGCUUUCCAU